This is a long non-coding RNA of Heterocephalus glaber (naked mole-rat), 4953 nucleotides long. Lineage: Eukaryota; Metazoa; Chordata; Mammalia; Rodentia; Bathyergidae. The record is from Ensembl.
GCGGCCGGGAAGCAAGUGGGGGCGGGGCGGAGGGAGGUGGAAGGGAAGAAGCUGUCCGCGGAUUGCCAGAUCGAAAACAGACCGGAUCGCCCGUUCACCCCGACAUGCCGAUUUCCUCAGUUUGACUCCGGAGUGGAAAAUAUAGGGAACAAUUUCAUAUACGUUCUACUCAUUUAGUGGCUCUUUAAAAUUCUCCACUAGAUGAGCCGAGCGAAUCUUUCAGACAGGCAGUAGGGCAGCCACUGCCAGUCCCUCUAGCCAGGGCCCCAGCAAAGGGGAGGAGCGUCCCAAGGACCGGAGUAGACAGUGGAUUGGUCACCAGGAAAGGGAAAGCUCCUGAAUUGGAGGCGCGCAGGCGCAACUCUUUCGCGGGUAGGGGGGAGUGAGACUAAGGCGGAGGCGAGCAAAUGGGUGAGGAAGAGCGGUGAGGAAGGGCGGUAUGGUAGCAAAAUUAUGGAGCGCCAUUAAGGACAAGUUUGGUCACGUGAUUCUCAUAGGCGUUUCCUGGUUUGAAAGGUAAGGAAGAAGUCCAGAAGGGAAAGUUUGAUUGGACUAAUUCGAGGAAGGGUUGAAGAUUUGGGAAACUGGCGAAGCUAAAGAAUAUAGCUGGUGUUUUAAAAAAAUCCUAUGAAGAUGGGAAUCGAAAGGAGGAAAGGGCUGAAGAUUGGAGCCCAGUGGUAGAGUACUUGCCUAGACCAAAAAAGGCCCUGGAUUCAUCUCCAUCACAGAAAAGAAAAAAUAAAAAGAGACACCCCAAAAAGUCCUAGUUAUCCAAUGAAGAACAAAUGGACAGUUGGAACACAAGGGUGACCUGUGUCCAAGAGAUAAAAAUUUGAGCAUCAACAGUUGUGUUAUAUUUAUCAACAUAAAUAGUAUAGUACAAGGGCCCCUCUGCUUAUGUUGGAGUUGCAUCAUCAUAAACCUGUUGUAAAUGGAACAUCAUAAAUCAAAAGUAUAUUUAAUAGUCCCUAACCUAAUGAACAUCCUAGCUCAGCCAGACAGUACACUAAGGAGUGUCCAAUCUGAGCCCUUGGGUUUGUUGCGUUGUUUUGUCUUAAUAUUAAAAGGAUACUGAGGCAUGAUAGUACAUGUCUGUAAUCCCAGCCCUCAGAAGUCUGAAUCAGGAUUGAGACCAGCCCAGACUACAUAGAGAAACUCUGCCUCAAAAAAAAAGUUUGUUACUUGUAUGUAUUAAAGUAUAUUGUAUAUUUUAUUAUAUAUGGUUCAAGAUAAUUCUUCACUCUGCAUCCCAAGCAAGCCAAGAGGUUGGACACCUAUUACUUUACAGGCAAUGGGCCAGGCAUCAAAAGAUUAUCAUAUCACAUUUUGCUAAGCUGGAAAAAAGAUGAAAAUUUGAAGUACAGAUUCUACUGACUAUCAUUUUCACACCAUAUAAAGGAAAAGAGUCACAUACUGAACCAUAAUAAGUUGGGGACCAUCAGGGCUCGCUUCAGCAGCACAUAUACUAAGUUGGGGACCAUCGUAUUUACCACCAUAAAAAGGAUAAAAUCACUGAAGAAAAUGUCAAGAGAAACUCCAGGACUAAGCCCAGAGAAACUUCAAAAUAUAUGGAGGUUAAGUCUCUAAACAGGAGAUUGAGGAAAGGGAAAACGUGAUAUCACUAAACCCAAGGAAAGAGUUGCUUCAAGAAAAGUAGGUCACUGUCUUCAGUGUAACAGAGCAAAAAGUCAGAAGGCAAGAAGUGCUUCUAUGGAUUGACAUCGUAGAAGACCAAUACUGACCAUGUAGAAUGCAGAUCAGUGGAAUAGAGCCAGAUUAGCUCAUUGGUGAUGGCAAAAGACAAAUAGUUGUGAAAUUUUAUAGAGAACAGCAAAGAAAUAUAACUGAAAGUAUGAUGUGAGAAUUUUUUCUAUCCUUUUUGUCCAUUUAAAUGAGAAGUACAAAAAAUGUAUUCUAAUGGUAGUGAUUCAAUAAAGGGGGAAAUACUGAUAAUGAUGAAGAAACCUAUAGAUCAUUGUAGGAGCAAAAUCUUAGUGGCAAGAAAUUAUGCAACUUCAAGAGGAAAAGUCCCUUAGGUAGAAGCAGGAACAUUUCUGCCUUACUGUAUAUUGAGAGAAGACAAAGAUAAUGGGCACAUGUCCAAAUUGGUUUGCAAAUAAAGAGUCUAUGAAGGACUUCCUCCUUGAUUGUUCCUUUUUCAGUGAAAUUUGAGGCAAGGUCCUCAGCUAAGAGGGAGGUGAGGGGAGAGUGAGAGUUUUGAAAAGAGAAAAUGUGCGACACUUGGAAAUCCCUGCAUAGAAGAAUAAGAAUUUAAAAUGUUUGCAGCAGUGAUUACAAUGGAGAAUCACAGAGUCUAAGCUGAGUAAGGAGGGAAGAGAAGGGAAAUGAGGAAUGAGUGAGAGUGUUGUCAGAAUUAAUGGAUUGUUAGGAGUAAAAGUUGCAAAGAAAACAAGAAGGACCCAAAAACAUCAGUCAGUAGAAGACAGUAGAAGGUGAUUCUGAAGAGCUGUGGAGCUGUGAGUAUAGACAAAAAGAACAAACCUAAAGGGCCUGAGGUGUUUGAGAGGAUGGAAGAGUACUGGUUGAGAAGCAGUGAUGGAAAGCAACAUACAGCUCUGCACUGAACUGCAUGAGUUCAAAUUCUGGUGCCAACAUUUACUAGGUAUUUGAAUUUGAACCAAUUAACUACUUUAAGUCAGGUUUUUAUUCUUAAAAAUUGUAACAAUAAUAGUACUUUUUCAUGGGGUAUUGAGAAGAGUGAGGUAAAUUCAACUAAAGCACUUAUCCCAGGGCUGGGGAUUUAGCUCAGUGGUGCCAGUGUCUGGCAAGUGCAAGGUCCUGAGUUCAAUCCCCAGUACCCCCCAAAAAAGCCCUUAGCACAGAGCUAAUACCAUAUGCUCUGUGAGUUUUAUUACUAAAUCAUUUUGGAAACAACACAAUCCAAAUGUGUUUGUGCUGUGAACAAAGAGUACUUCAGCUCUCUCCCAUUUCUUUGCCUUAACACUGGUUAGAAAUCAACAUACCUCAUACUGUUUACACCAAGUAUUAGAAAUCUAUGCUGUGCCAAUGAACUUCAAAAUGAGGAUUGAAAAGAAAGGUGACUGGGGUGAGGAAGAAAAGUUUUCUAUUAUGACCAAUAAUGACAGAUUUGGAAAUCUACAUGGUUCUAAUUUUUGUUUUUCAUUUUGUCCAGAAAAAUAAUCAGCCUCAAUAUUCUUUAGGAGAGCUUAUGGGUAUGUAGUGAGAAAGUUAAUGCUCUGCCAUCUGAUUGGUCUUCAUUAAGAAUUUCUGACCUAUAUUUCUAAGUCCUGGCUAUGGGACGUCUGAAAUAGAGUAUUCCAUAUAUAUGUAAGAUCUAAAAUAUCCAAUACUGAUAUACUAGUCCCCCACCCCACCUACUUCUGUUAAUAUUCUUUUAGUUAAUGGAGCUAUAGUCCCCACUCUCUAUUCCUUAUCCAAAUACAGUUAAUAUUUCCGCGUGUGUGUGUUUGUGUGUUUGUGUGUAUGGUUCUGGUGAUUGAACCUAGGAUCUUGGCUCAGUUUUUUAUUUUAUAUUUUGUAUAGAAUCUCGCUAAGUUACUAACUUGCCCAGACUAGCCUCAAACUCAUGAUCCUCCUGCCUCAGCCUCCCAGAGUGCUGCAUUACAGGUAUACACCACCCUGUCCAGAUCAGUAGUUUUUUUGUUUGCUUUUUGUUUUGGUACCGGGGAUCGAACUCGGGUCUUUGUGCUUGCGCAGCAGGCAACGAAACCACUGAGCUAAAUCCCUGGCCCCAGAGUAGUAGUUUUUAAAAGGAACUUGACUGGGUGCUCCUUAUCUCCACUGCCAGAGCCUUGGUUCAGGCCUGUGUCCACAUUACUCUUACAAUUGCCAGUCAUCUCAGUCUCCCUUGACUGCUUCUAGUCUUGUUCUCUACCUUAGAAAGUAUUGUUUCAAACACGGAUCAACUCACUUAACUUCUCUGCUAUAAACCUACCCGUGGCAGUGGUCUCCAGACUUUUCACACUUCUUUAGUCAUGUAUCCCUAUAAGGGAAAGGGAGGAGAGCAUGUGUUCCCACCCCAUGUAUAUGUACUGUAUUUAGACACGAAUCAUGUAUAUAUGUACUACUGCACAAAUGCAUACCUAAUAAUAAUUCAUGCCUGAAAAGAAACUAGUAAUAAAAACAAAUUUUAAUGUUUAGGCCUAAGUGGAUCAUCUUGCAUUCUCCUGCCAAACCCCUUUGGUAGUUACUGACUUACAGGGUAUAACUCAGACUCUGUAGCAAGAGCUCUUACACAUUGGCUUUUCCCUGUACAUCUAGUCUCAUUUUCUACUGUUUCCCCCACAUGUCUAAGUUCUAGCCAUAGCAAAUAACCCACACAUACUGAGCUACUUCCCACAGUGCACAUAGGACUACCUAGAAUGCUAUUUUUCCUGUGAAUGUUCCAGGCUGGUUAAAGAAUUGUUUACUCCAAAAACUCAUUUUGUUUGUUUGGGGUUUUUUGGCUCACAACCACCCCCACAUUAUAUUGAAUUAAGUCCCUGCCCCCAACUCGGUUUCCAUAGGGCCUUUUAAUCAUAUUAUAUCUUUUCAUUAUUGGAAUAGUUUUUGUCUUUUUUUUCCCCAUAAAACUAAAAUUUUUGAUCACUUAAUAGAGUAGAUUUUAUUAAAUUGAGGCCUUACAAUAGGACACGUGUGUAAAUACCGAAUAGCUUCUCUAGUGUGAGAAACUGAAAGUGUAAAUAAGGACUACAAAGUAUAAUAGAUAAUGUGAAAUAGGAAGAAAAGGGGCGAAGGGGAAGUGGGAGGGGUAGGGGAAAGGAAAGAAGGGAAUGGAAUUAAUAUGAGAAAAUGAAAAAACGGAAACAAAGUCUUUGUAAAUAGGGAGGGCAGAGGAAGGAGGAAAAAAUAACCAAGAGAGAUUAUGUAAAGAUGCAAAUUUCCAAUAAUAAAUGUCAUUAUAAUGUAUACCUAAAAUGUACCAAUAAAAUAAAUUUUUUUAAAAAAUGA